This is a small nuclear RNA of Otolemur garnettii (small-eared galago), 104 nucleotides long. NCBI's taxonomy places the organism in Eukaryota, Metazoa, Chordata, Mammalia, Primates, Galagidae. The record is from Ensembl.
GUGUUCACUUUGGCAGCACAUAUACUAAAAUUGGAACAAUACAGAGAUUAGCAUGGCCCCUGUGCAAGGAUGACAUGCUAAUUCGUGAAGCGUGCCAUAUUAUU